CUCAGAAAAUGGAAAAGCAAACAAAAAAAAAUAAUGGUACACUACGUGCUAAGUACAGUGUAUCCUUGUGCAUCUCUCUGCGCUCAAGGAAACAACUACUUCCUUCCGGCGCUGAAUCAGCGCAGGGGAAUUGAGGCGGGCAACUCUGCAGAAUGGGUGUGGGCGGCAAGCAGAGACAUCUUUACCCGGUGCCCUGCCAGCUUGCCAUUACCCUGCGCGGCUUCAGCUUUGAGAGCAAG
Molecule: non-coding RNA, 239 nt
Organism: Pelobates cultripes (western spadefoot toad)
Lineage: Eukaryota; Metazoa; Chordata; Amphibia; Anura; Pelobatidae
Source: the annotation of a GenBank genome assembly